Molecule: ribosomal RNA, 1470 nt
Filed under: metagenome
Description: bacterial SSU rRNA
Rfam family: Bacterial small subunit ribosomal RNA
Source: RNAcentral
AGAGUUUGAUCAUGGCUCAGGACGAACGCUGGCGGCACGCUUAACACAUGCAAGUCGAACGAGAGAAGAGGAGCUUGCUUUUCUGAUCUAGUGGCGGACGGGUGAGUAACACGUGAGCAAUCUGCCUUUCAGAGGGGGAUACCGAUUGGAAACGAUCGUUAAUACCGCAUAACAUAAUUGAACCGCAUGAUUUGAUUAUCAAAGAUUUAUCGCUGAAAGAUGAGCUCGCGUCUGAUUAGCUAGUUGGUAAGGUAACGGCUUACCAAGGCGACGAUCAGUAGCCGGACUGAGAGGUUGAUCGGCCACAUUGGGACUGAGACACGGCCCAGACUCCUACGGGAGGCAGCAGUGGGGAAUAUUGCACAAUGGAGGAAACUCUGAUGCAGCGAUGCCGCGUGAGGGAAGAAGGUUUUAGGAUUGUAAACCUCUGUCUUCAGGGACGAAAAAAGACGGUACCUGAGGAGGAAGCUCCGGCUAACUACGUGCCAGCAGCCGCGGUAAUACGUAGGGAGCGAGCGUUGUCCGGAAUUACUGGGUGUAAAGGGAGCGUAGGCGGGAUCGCAAGUCAGAUGUGAAAACUAUGGGCUUAACCCAUAAACUGCAUUUGAAACUGUGGUUCUUGAGUGAAGUAGAGGUAAGCGGAAUUCCUAGUGUAGCGGUGAAAUGCGUAGAUAUUAGGAGGAACAUCAGUGGCGAAGGCGGCUUACUGGGCUUUAACUGACGCUGAGGCUCGAAAGCGUGGGGAGCAAACAGGAUUAGAUACCCUGGUAGUCCACGCCGUAAACGAUGAUUACUAGGUGUGGGGGGACUGACCCCUUCCGUGCCGCAGCAAACGCAAUAAGUAAUCCACCUGGGGAGUACGACCGCAGGGUUGAAACUCAAAGGAAUUGACGGGGGCCCGCACAAGCAGUGGAGUAUGUGGAUUAAUUCGAAGCAACGCGAAGAACCUUACCAGGUCUUGACAUCGUAUGCAUAGCUCAGAGAUGAGUGAAAUCUCUUCGGAGACAUAUAGACAGGUGGUGCAUGGUUGUCGUCAGCUCGUGUCGUGAGAUGUUGGGUUAAGUCCCGCAACGAGCGCAACCCUUACUGUUAGUUGCUACGCAAGAGCACUCUAGCAGGACUGCCGUUGACAAAACGGAGGAAGGUGGGGAUGACGUCAAAUCAUCAUGCCCCUUAUGACCUGGGCCUCACACGUACUACAAUGGCUGUCAACAGAGGGAAGCAAAGCCGCGAGGUGGAGCGAACCCCUAAAAGCAGUCUUAGUUCGGAUUGUAGGCUGCAACCCGCCUACAUGAAGUCGGAAUUGCUAGUAAUCGCAGAUCAGCAUGCUGCGGUGAAUACGUUCCCGGGCCUUGUACACACCGCCCGUCACGCCAUGGGAGUCGGUAACACCCGAAGCCUGUAGUCUAACCGCAAGGAGGACGCAGUCGAAGGUGGGAUUGAUGACUGGGGUGAAGUCGUAACAAGGUA